AAAUAGAUCCUGAAACCGUAUGCUUACAAAAAGUAGGAGCCUCGAAAGGGGUGACUGCGUACCUUUUGUAUAAUGGGUCAGCGACUUACAUUCAGUGGCAAGGUUAACCGAAUAGGGAAGCCGUAGAGAAAUCGAGUCCGAAUAGGGCGAAUUAGUCGCUGGGUGUAGACCCGAAACCAAGUGAUCUAUCCAUGGGCAGGAUGAAGGUGCCGUAACAGGUACUGGAGGUCCGAACCGACUAAUGUUGCAAAAUUAGCGGAUGACCUGUGGAUAGGGGUGAAAGGCUAAACAAACUUGGAAAUAGCUGGUUCUCUCCGAAAACUAUUUAGGUAGUGCCUCAAGUAUUACCGUCGGGGGUAGAGCACUGUUUUGGCUAGGGGGUCAUGGCGACUUACCAAACCAAUGCAAGCUCCGAAUACCGACGAGUACAGCUUGGGAGACAGAGCACCGGGUGCUAACGUCCGGACUCAAGAGGGAAACAACCCAGACCGCCAGCUAAGGUCCCUAAAAUUGGCUAAGUGGGAAACGAAGUGGGAAGGCUAAAACAGUCAGGAUGUUGGCUUAGAAGCAGCCAUCAUUUAAAGAAAGCGUAAUAGCUCACUGAUCGAGUCGUCCUGCGCGGAAGAUGUAACGGGGCUAAGCCAGUUACCGAAGCUGCGGAUUUGCAAUUUAUUGCAAGUGGUAGGAGAGCGUUCUGUAAGCCUGUGAAGGUGCGUUGUAAAGCGUGCUGGAGGUAUCAGAAGUGCGAAUGCUGACAUGAGUAGCGUUAAAGGGGGUGAAAAGCCCCCUCGCCGUAAGCGCAAGGUUUUCUACGCAACGUUCAUCGGCGUAGAGUGAGUCGGCCCCUAAGGCGAGGCAGAGAUGCGUAGUUGAUGGGAAACAGGUAAAUAUUCCUGUACCGAUGUGUAGUGCGAUGUGGGGACGGAGAAGGUUAGCUCAGCAGACUGUUGGAUAUGUCUGUUCAAGCCUGUAGUCGUGCCUGGUAGGUAAAUCCGCCGGGCUUAGAUGAGGGGUGAUAACGAGGAUGCUUGCAUCCGAAGUGAGUGAUACCCUGCUUCCAGGAAAAGCCACUAAGCUUCAGCUACACACGACCGUACCGCAAACCGACACUGGUGCGCGAGAUGAGUAUUCUAAGGCGCUUGAGAGAACUCAGGAGAAGGAACUCGGCAAAUUGACACCGUAACUUCGGAAGAAGGUGUGCCUUUAGUGUGUGAACCUGAACAAGGGGAGCAGAAUGAGGCCUCAGAGAAUCGGUGGCUGCGACUGUUUAAUAAAAACACAGCACUCUGCAAACACGAAAGUGGACGUAUAGGGUGUGACGCCUGCCCGGUGCUGGAAGAUUAAAUGAUGGGGUGCAAGCUCUUGAUUGAAGUCCCAGUAAACGGCGGCCGUAACUAUAACGGUCCUAAGGUAGCGAAAUUCCUUGUCGGGUAAGUUCCGACCUGCACGAAUGGCGUAACGAUGGCCACACUGUCUCCUCCUGAGACUCAGCGAAGUUGAAAUGUUUGUGAUGAUGCAAUCUACCCGCGGCUAGACGGAAAGACCCCAUGAACCUUUACUGUAGCUUUGCAUUGGACUUUGAACCGGUUUGUGUAGGAUAGGUGGGAGGCGUUGAUAUCAGGAUGCUAGUUCUGAUGGAGCCAACCUUGAAAUACCACCCUGAUUUGUUUGAGGUUCUAACCUUGGCCCGUUAUCCGGGUCGGGAACAGUGCAUGGUAGGCAGUUUGACUGGGGCGGUCUCCUCCCAAAGUGUAACGGAGGAGUACGAAGGUACGCUUGGCACGGUCGGACAUCGUGCCUAAAGUGCAAUGGCAAAAGCGUGCUUAACUGCGAGACCGACAAGUCGAGCAGGUGCGAAAGCAGGUCAUAGUGAUCCGGUGGUUCUGUAUGGAAGGGCCAUCGCUCAACGGAUAAAAGGCACUCUGGGGAUAACAGGCUGAUACCGCCCAAGAGUUCAUAUCGACGGCGGUGUUUGGCACCUCGAUGUCGGCUCAUCUCAUCCUGGGGCUGUAGCCGGUCCCAAGGGUAUGGCUGUUCGCCAUUUAAAGAGGUACGUGAGCUGGGUUUAAAACGUCGUGAGACAGUUUGGUCCCUAUCUGCCGUGGGCGUUG
Molecule: ribosomal RNA, 2111 nt
Filed under: uncultured Limnohabitans sp.
Lineage: Bacteria; Pseudomonadati; Pseudomonadota; Betaproteobacteria; Burkholderiales; Comamonadaceae
Description: partial 23S ribosomal RNA
Rfam family: Bacterial large subunit ribosomal RNA
Source: RNAcentral